Molecule: non-coding RNA, 77 nt
Organism: Podarcis lilfordi (Lilford's wall lizard)
Lineage: Eukaryota; Metazoa; Chordata; Lepidosauria; Squamata; Lacertidae
Source: the annotation of a GenBank genome assembly
GCCUUUGUGGGUAGCUCAGCUGGCAGAGCACAAGACCCUUAAUCUCAGCGCCGCAGGUUCGAGCCUCCCUCUGGGCA